GCUGGCGGCGUGCCUAACACAUGCAAGUCGAACGAGAAAGUGGAGCGAUCCAUGAGUACAGUGGCGUACGGGUGAGUAACACGUGACUAACCUACCCUCGAGUGGGGAAUAACUUCGGGAAACCGAGGCUAAUACCGCAUAAUGUCUACGGACCAAAUGCGUAAGCAGCUUGAGGAGGGGGUCGCGGCUGAUUAGCUUGUUGGCGGGGUAACGGCCCACCAAGGCAAUGAUCAGUAGCCGGCCUGAGAGGGCGCACGGCCACACUGGAACUGAAACACGGUCCAGACUCCUACGGGAGGCAGCAGUGGGGAAUUUUGCGCAAUGGGGGAAACCCUGACGCAGCAACGCCGCGUGGAGGAUGAAGCCCCUUGGGGUGUAAACUCCUUUCGAUCGGGACGAUUAUGACGGUACCGGAUGAAGAAGCACCGGCUAACUCUGUGCCAGCAGCCGCGGUAAUACAGAGGGUGCAAGCGUNGUUCGGAAUUAUUGGGCGUAAAGGGUGCGUA
Molecule: ribosomal RNA, 506 nt
Filed under: uncultured bacterium
Lineage: Bacteria
Description: bacterial SSU rRNA
Rfam family: Bacterial small subunit ribosomal RNA
Source: RNAcentral